This 388-nucleotide ribosomal RNA is filed under the name uncultured bacterium. RNAcentral's name for it is "bacterial SSU rRNA". It matches the Rfam family "Bacterial small subunit ribosomal RNA", at positions 28 to 417 of the family's 1533-position model. The record is from RNAcentral.
GACGAACGCUGGCGGCGUGCUUAACACAUGCAAGUCGAGCGGUAAGGCCCUUUCGGGGGUACACGAGCGGCGAACGGGUGAGUAACACGUGGGUGACCUGCCCUCAGCUCUGGGAUAAGCCUGGGAAACCGGGUCUAAUACUGGAUAUGACUCCAUGACGCAUGUCGUGGGGUGGAAAGCCUUGUGCGGCUGAGGAUGGGCCCGCGGCCUAUCAGCUUGUUGGUGGGGUGAGGCCUACCAAGGCGACGACGGGUAGCCGGCCUGAGGAGGGCGACCGGCCACACUGGGACUGAGACACGGCCCAGACUCCUACGGGAGGCAGCAGUGGGGAAUCUUGCGCAAUGGGCGAAAGCCUGACGCAGCGACGCCGCGUGAGGGAUGACGGCCU